RNAcentral lists this ribosomal RNA (117 nucleotides) under Danio rerio (zebrafish). Lineage: Eukaryota; Metazoa; Chordata; Actinopteri; Cypriniformes; Danionidae. The record is from RNAcentral.
AGCCACAGCCAUGUCACCCUGCAGCCCAAGACCGGUUACUCACUGAAGCUAAGCAGGGCUGAGCCUGGUCAUUACCUGGAUGGGAGACCACUAGGGAACACUAGGUUGCUGUUGGAA